AAAUGCAGAUUUUAUUGUCAUAUCUGAUUCAAUAGAACCGCUUCGUUGAUAAUCAAUUUGAUUUCAAUUCUAAAUCUAAAGUAGAGAAAAUCAGAAAAACAAAAUGUUGCAAUCUCUUGGGAUUAAUUGCCUUUUGCUGUCAAAUGUUGGAUACUAACUUGUUAAAUAAUUUUAGUUGGUGAAAUCAUUUAAUUAAAAAAAAAAAAGAAAAGAAAAGAGGAAAAGACGAGUUUGGAUGCUGCCUAUGAAUCAGUGAUUGGCAACGAGAAAGGAAAGGCAGAGAGUGGUAUCCAAAGGAACCAGUGGGUGUUUGAUAAAAUGUUUAAAAGAAUAUAGUGUUAUGGGUCUAGAAGAUGAUGGUUAUUUUUGUAAUUUAUAAUUAUUCUAUAAAUUUUAAUUAACAAUUUCAUUUUGACUAACGAAAUUUCUUUUAACAUAAGGAACACAUAAUUGGAUUUAAAGAUAAUGAAGAAUAUUUUAAUUAAAAUUAAAAAUUAUAAAAACUAACUAAUUAAUUUCACUAAAAAUUUAGAAGUGUUAUAAUAAUUUUUCUUUUUCCUAAAUGGGUUUGCUCCUUAAAUACUUGCCUGAUUUCUAUGAUGAUUGUUUGU
RNAcentral lists this long non-coding RNA (611 nucleotides) under Manihot esculenta (cassava). Its description in RNAcentral is "long non-coding RNA (MESC_LNC000950)". The record is from RNAcentral. Lineage: Eukaryota; Viridiplantae; Streptophyta; Magnoliopsida; Malpighiales; Euphorbiaceae.